GCCCAAGUGGCGGAACGGUAGACGCAGGGGAUUCAAAAUCCCCCGCCGCAAGGCGUGUGGGUUCGAAUCCCACCUUGGGCACCA
Molecule: transfer RNA, 84 nt
Filed under: Roseovarius sp.
Lineage: Bacteria; Pseudomonadati; Pseudomonadota; Alphaproteobacteria; Rhodobacterales; Roseobacteraceae
Also listed under: 2 other names
Description: tRNA-Leu
Rfam family: tRNA
About the family: Transfer RNA (tRNA) molecules are approximately 80 nucleotides in length. Their secondary structure includes four short double-helical elements and three loops (D, anti-codon, and T loops).
Source: RNAcentral